Molecule: unclassified non-coding RNA, 381 nt
Filed under: uncultured Oligoflexales bacterium
Lineage: Bacteria; Pseudomonadati; Bdellovibrionota; Oligoflexia; Oligoflexales
Description: contains 16S-23S intergenic spacer region
Source: RNAcentral
UCCGUGUUAACCACGGCAGUCUGUCUGGAGUGCCCAACUUAAUGAUGGCAACCAAACACAGGGGUUGCGCUCGUUGCGGGACUUAACCCAACAUUUCACAACACGAGCUGACGACAGCCAUGCAGCACCUGUGUCCUCUGUCUCUUGCGAGCCUAUAUCUAUCUCUAGUUAUAUUCAGAGGCAUGUCAAGUCCAGGUAAGGUUCUUCGCGUUGCUUCGAAUUAAACCACAUGAUCCACCGCUUGUGCGGGUCCCCGUCAAUUCCUUUGAGUUUUAAUCUUGCGACCGUACUUCCCAGGCGGGAUGCUUAUCGCGUUAGCUUCGACACGACAGGGGUCAAGACCCAUCACGUCUAGCAUCCAUCGUUUACAGCGUGGACUAC